RNAcentral lists this ribosomal RNA (506 nucleotides) under uncultured bacterium. RNAcentral describes it as "partial 16S ribosomal RNA". It matches the Rfam family "Bacterial small subunit ribosomal RNA", at positions 29 to 523 of the family's 1533-position model. The record is from RNAcentral.
AUUGAACGCUGGCGGCAGGCCUAACACAUGCAAGUCGGACGGUAGCACAGAGGAGCUUGCUCCUCGGGUGACGAGUGGCGGACGGGUGAGUAAUGUCUGGGGAUCUGCCCGAUAGAGGGGGAUAACCACUGGAAACGGUGGCUAAUACCGCAUAACGUCGCAAGACCAAAGAAGGGGACCUUCGGGCCUCUCACUAUCGGAUGAACCCAGAUGGGAUUAGCUAGUAGGCGGGGUAACGGCCCACCUAGGCGACGAUCCCUAGCUGGUCUGAGAGGAUGACCAGCAACAUUGGAACUGAGACACGGUCCAGACUCCUACGGGAGGCAGCAGUGGGGAAUAUUGCACGAUGGGCGCAAGCCUGAUGCAGCCAUGCCGCGUGUAUGAAGAAGGCCUUCGGGUUGUAAAGUACUUUCAGCGGGGAGGAAGGCGAUGUGGUUAAUAACCGCAUUGAUUGACGUUACCCGCAGAAGAAGCACCGGCUAACUCCGUGCCAGCCGCCGCGGUAA